UACGUAGGUGGCGAGCGUUGUCCGGAUUUACUGGGCGUAAAGGGAGCGUAGGCGGACUUUUAAGUGAGAUGUGAAAUACUCGGGCUCAACUUGAGUGCUGCAUUUCAAACUGGAAGUCUAGAGUGCAGGAGAGGAGAAUGGAAUUCCUAGUGUAGCGGUGAAAUGCGUAGAGAUUAGGAAGAACACCAGUGGCGAAGGCGAUUCUCUGGACUGUACCUGACGCUGAGGCUCGAAAGCGUGGGGAGCAAACAGG
RNAcentral lists this ribosomal RNA (253 nucleotides) under uncultured bacterium. RNAcentral describes it as "partial 16S ribosomal RNA". It matches the Rfam family "Bacterial small subunit ribosomal RNA", at positions 524 to 776 of the family's 1533-position model. The record is from RNAcentral.